RNAcentral lists this ribosomal RNA (253 nucleotides) under uncultured bacterium. RNAcentral describes it as "partial 16S ribosomal RNA". It matches the Rfam family "Bacterial small subunit ribosomal RNA", at positions 524 to 776 of the family's 1533-position model. The record is from RNAcentral.
UACGUAGGGGGCAAGCGUUGUCCGGAUUUAUUGGGCGUAAAGAGCGUGUAGGCGGCCAGGUAGGUCUGGUGUGAAAACUCGAGGCUCAACCUCGAGAGGUCAUCGGAAACCAUCUGGCUAGAGUCCGGAAGAGGAGAGUGGAAUUCCCGGUGUAGCGGUGAAAUGCGCAGAUAUCGGGAAGAACACCUAUGGCGAAGGCAGCUCUCUGGGACGGUACUGACGCUGAGACGCGAAGGCGUGGGGAGCGAACAGG